AUUGAACGCUGGCGGCAGGCCUAACACAUGCAAGUCGAGCGGUUGAGGGGAGCUUGCUCCCUGAUUUAGCGGCGGACGGGUGAGUAAUUCCUAGGAAUCUGCCUGGUAGUGGGGGAUAACGUUCCGAAAGGAACGCUAAUACCGCAUACGUCCUACGGGAGAAAGCCGGGGACCUUCGGUCCUUGCGCUAUCAGCUGAGCCUAGGUCGGAUUAGCUAGUUGGUGAGGUAAUGGCUCACCAAGGCGACGAUCCGUAACUGGUCUGAGAGGAUGAUCAGUCACACUGGAACUGAGACACGGUCCAGACUCCUCCGGGAGGCAGCAGUGGGGAAUAUUGGACAAUGGGCGAAAGCCUGAUCCAGCCAUGCCGCGUGUUUGAAGAAGGUCUUCGGAUUGUAAAGCACUUUAAGUUGGGAGGAAGGGCUGCUGGUUAAUACCCUGCAGUUUUGACGUUACCAACAGAAUAAGCACCGGCUAACUUCGUG
Molecule: ribosomal RNA, 484 nt
Filed under: uncultured bacterium
Lineage: Bacteria
Description: partial 16S ribosomal RNA
Rfam family: Bacterial small subunit ribosomal RNA
Source: RNAcentral